UCAACUCAACUCAACUAAGCCUUUAUCUCAAAAAUACAAAAGAAAUAUCAUCAUUAAAAUAAAUUAAAUGCAAUUAGAAACUCAGCUGCUAACUACAAAGCAAAUACCUUCAACACCUCGUCAAAGAAUUCAUUCUGCGUUUGUUUUUUCCCUGGUCUUUUCAGUUAAUGCUGCCUCCUAUUAAACUCAUCGCCAAAGCCU
Molecule: unclassified non-coding RNA, 201 nt
Filed under: Hevea brasiliensis (rubber tree)
Lineage: Eukaryota; Viridiplantae; Streptophyta; Magnoliopsida; Malpighiales; Euphorbiaceae
Source: RNAcentral